This 120-nucleotide ribosomal RNA is filed under the name Pogona vitticeps (central bearded dragon). Lineage: Eukaryota; Metazoa; Chordata; Lepidosauria; Squamata; Agamidae. The record is from RNAcentral.
AUACAUCCCCAUGUCACCCUGAAUAUCCCAGAUCACAUCUGGUUUUGGAAACUAAGCACGAUUGGGCCAGGUUAGUACUUGGAUGGGAGAAUACCAGGGAAUAAACACCAAGAAUCUCUC